UGCAGCACCGGUAGCAGACAUCCACUGGGGUGGCGGGCUGAAGGAGGUACAAGUCGUGCAUUUAUUUAUAAAGUAAUCAAAACUGUUGCUAUUAUUAUUAUUCCACGCUCUUCUUAUCGCUGCGCUGCCCUCGACUAACAACGAGUCGAAAGCGGGCGCUGAACAGCGGCGGGCAGUUGCAAUAUUGCAACAAACUGUUGCUAAGUUGCUAUUUGGCGAGCGUGCGAAAUUUUUCGAAGUGUUCGCGGUACUCAAUCGUGAAAGCUUAAGUCUCGAACCCGCAGGACUGAACACAAGCACCCAAUACCAGCUCAAUGUCCGCGUUCAGAGAAAUCACCACAAUUACAAUUUGCACUUGGCUAAUUGUUAUAAAUAAUUACACAUGACUGAGGCACUACACCAUUAAAGCCAAGUUUCAUUACACAAGUUUGGGGAACAUUUAAACUACGGGGCGCUCUGGCACUUUGGUUCGAUACUUGCCUCCCCAGAAUCAAAUCUAAAAGUUCCACGUAUCUUCUUCGGUGAACUUAGAAUUGAUUCUAACUGAAAUUAGUCCUAUCAACCAAGGUCGAAACGUGACAGUAGUCCGAUUAAUGCAGAACUGGUUCACCACCAUUAAGGCGAAGUACAGUUGCUCCGUGUGAUGAAAGUGAAUUUGAUUUCGAUCUCCCCAUGUACAUUCACCGCCAGUAUGAAUGAUUCUGAGCAAUCCUUUCGAGCGAGGUUGAACUUGAUUUCGAAUUACUUAUAUUGGUAUAUACUAUUUAGGAUUUAAAAAAAAAACAGGAAAAGGUUUCUGAGCAAACGGCAACCUACAAGCGAGGGUUUAACUCCUGAUGCGAAAGUGCUUCGCAGGUCUUUC
Long non-coding RNA from Hermetia illucens (black soldier fly), 862 nucleotides. RefSeq lists it as uncharacterized. The transcript is spliced from 3 exons. Lineage: Eukaryota; Metazoa; Arthropoda; Insecta; Diptera; Stratiomyidae. The record is from RefSeq and is a predicted model, not a curated record.